ACUACCCGCUGAACUUAA
This 18-nucleotide ribosomal RNA is filed under the name Symmetrospora pseudomarina. RNAcentral describes it as "partial 28S ribosomal RNA". The record is from RNAcentral. Lineage: Eukaryota; Fungi; Basidiomycota; Cystobasidiomycetes; Symmetrosporaceae.